This 201-nucleotide ribosomal RNA is filed under the name uncultured bacterium. RNAcentral's name for it is "partial small subunit ribosomal RNA". It matches the Rfam family "Bacterial small subunit ribosomal RNA", at positions 26 to 229 of the family's 1533-position model. The record is from RNAcentral.
AGAUUGAACGCUGGCGGCAUGCCUUACACAUGCAAGUCGAACGGCAGCACGGGAGUAAUCCUGGUGGCGAGUGGCGAACGGGUGAGUAAUACAUCGGAACGUGCCCAAUCGUGGGGGAUAACUACGCGAAAGCGUGGCUAAUACCGCAUAAGAUCUACGGAUGAAAGCAGGGGAUCGCAAGACCUUGCGCGAAUGGAGCGG